AUGUACCAGGAACGAGCUAAAAAAGAUGCCAUUUUUUUUCCCACUGAUUUCAGUUUUAUUCCCCAGUGUCUCCCACUGAAGGAAGGUCACAAGCAACGAGGCAGCGGCACAUUGGAUCCGAAAUUGCUAAAGUUUGCUUGACUGACUGAGUGAAGAUCCUUCUAGGAAGAAUAAGCAACUGGAUCCAACUGGAUCUCCCCCACACUCCGUGUACCUUCUGCUGCGCUGCUCCUAACGCUGGCAAUUUAGCAAUCUGGCGUCUUGGCACUGUGUGGACAGAGGGUGUCUCACCCUGAGGUCAACCCUUGGAAUUUGAGGGAAGUCUGAAAUUGUAUGGAAAAAUGAACGUUUUUGAACAGCCAGGAAUUUUUCUGGAGAGAGAUAGAAGCAGAGGUAUGUGUGUGUGUGUGUGUGUGUGUGUGUGUGUGUGGGUGGUGGGUGGGUAGGUGGGUGGUGGUGUGGGAGAUCUCGUACCUCUCAUCAGACUCUCUUGGUAACAAAUGUUGAUUAAUAAAAAAUUGGUCAAGGAAUCUUUUCUCA
This 540-nucleotide long non-coding RNA is filed under the name Oryctolagus cuniculus (rabbit). RNAcentral describes it as "lncRNA (ENSOCUG00000035916.1)". Lineage: Eukaryota; Metazoa; Chordata; Mammalia; Lagomorpha; Leporidae. The record is from RNAcentral.